CCUAGAUUAGCAAAGCUGAAUAUUGAGCACCAGAGAGGAAACCCAGGAGAUGACACAGCCACCCUGCCCGAGUCUCACACGCGGGCCUCAGCCGCCCCCUUCGCCGGAAACCCACUUCCCUGAGAUUUAUACACAGCUCCUGGUUCUCAUGGAAGCGCCCCCCGGCUCGUGCUGCACCCCCACCGGCUUCCCCCGACCCUGUCUCAAAGGAUGACACUCACACCUCUGUAGUCACUGCAGCCGUCACUGAGCUGAUGCUGAUGACUCACUUUUGCUCUCUCACUUGAAUGCAGGCUCCGUGUGGCAACCGCGUCCUCUGUUUCCUGCUGCCAGACCAGGAUCCAGGGAGUGACCCGCACAGUCCACAGCAGAGUGCACCAGGUUCGAGGGGGAGCAAGGUGACUGCCACGUCUCGAAAUGCUUUCCUUUUCCCGAUGGAAGGUGUUGGAGGGAACUCAACACAACGUCCCCAUAUUUGUAAGAACUACGAGACGAGAGGAUUGCUGUGAGAGAACCAAUACACGAAACGCACCAGCCGCGUCCUUGGCUACCUCUGAGGCCUCUGCUCAGAGCGCUCGGCCCUGAACUGUGCACCGAUUUCUUCAGCCAGGGCGAGGGCUGCAGUGACCGAGAUCAACACCACCGAGUACAGGCCUCACCCCAGAAGGCCGAGCCAGUGCCAUCUCCCGAGGGAGAGCACACAACUGCCGGGUGGCAGGGACUCAGUCUGGACCUGUGCCGUCACGAAUGGGACCUGGCGGCCGAGAGAGAGAGGAGAGAGGCCGCGUGAGCAGAAAACACGGUGCAUUUUGUAAAAGACGCGUUGCCAGCAGCCCCUCCGCCAGAGGCUGCCCCUCGUUUCAAACGCACUGUCCCUCCAUUCCCGCGACUCUCUGAAGCAGCUCCGCAGCCCUCUUCCACGCGUGUCUUCGUCACACGGUCACCGCGGCCUUGGUGUCCUUUCCAGAUUCACAACAUUUACUUCCUGUGGUCAUUUCCGGAUUCACAACGUUUACUUCCUGUGGUCAUUUCAACUUGGAAAGGCCAGAAGUUGCACAGCGCCAGACCCAGUGAAUAAGGCGGAUGCUCACUAAUGUUUUCAUUUCACAGAAA
RNAcentral lists this long non-coding RNA (1113 nucleotides) under Fukomys damarensis (Damara mole-rat). RNAcentral's name for it is "lncRNA (ENSFDAG00000032800.1)". The record is from RNAcentral. Lineage: Eukaryota; Metazoa; Chordata; Mammalia; Rodentia; Bathyergidae.